UACUCGAGUGGCUAACGGGUGAGUAACACGUGGGUGAUCUGCCCUGCACUUCGGGAUAAGCCUGGGAAACUGGGUCUAAUACCGGAUAGGACCACAUUUUGGAUGGUGUGGUGGAAAGUUUUUCGGUGUGGGAUGAGCUCGCGGCCUAUCAGCUUGUUGGUGGGGUAAUGGCCUACCAAGGCGUCGACGGGUAGCCGGCCUGAGAGGGUGGACGGCCACAUUGGGACUGAGAUACGGCCCAG
This 242-nucleotide ribosomal RNA is filed under the name uncultured Actinomycetales bacterium. RNAcentral's name for it is "partial 16S ribosomal RNA". It matches the Rfam family "Bacterial small subunit ribosomal RNA", at positions 88 to 334 of the family's 1533-position model. Lineage: Bacteria; Bacillati; Actinomycetota; Actinomycetes; Actinomycetales. The record is from RNAcentral.